This 645-nucleotide ribosomal RNA is filed under the name Triticum aestivum (bread wheat). RNAcentral's name for it is "partial small subunit ribosomal RNA". The record is from RNAcentral. Lineage: Eukaryota; Viridiplantae; Streptophyta; Magnoliopsida; Poales; Poaceae.
AUGGUGGGGAGCGGCAUGCAUGCCCAGCGCGGGGACCCGCUGGUGGUGGGGCGCGUGAUCGGCGACGUGGUGGACCCGUUCGUGCGGCGGGUGGCGCUGCGGGUCGGCUACGCGUCCAGGGACGUGGCCAACGGCUGCGAGCUGAGGCCGUCCGCCAUCGCCGACCCGCCGCGCGUCGAGGUCGGCGGCCCGGACAUGCGCACCUUCUACACGCUGGUGAGUUCCGCCUCCGCCGUACGUACGUCUGUACGUGCCAUGCUCGCGCGCUGCUUAAUUACUCCUCCUAGAUUACUUACUCCGGUGAGUGCGUGCGCGCAGGUGAUGGUGGAUCCGGAUGCUCCAAGUCCCAGCGAUCCCAGCCUUAGGGAGUACUUGCACUGGCUGGUCACCGACAUCCCGGCGACGACAGGAGUGUCUUUUGGGACCGAGGUGGUGUGCUACGAGGGCCCGCGGCCGGUGCUCGGGAUCCACCGGCUGGUGUUCCUGCUCUUCCAGCAGCUGGGCCGCCAGACGGUGUACGCCCCGGGGUGGCGGCAGAACUUCAGCACCCGCGACUUCGCCGAGCUCUACAACCUCGGCCUGCCCGUCGCCGCCGUCUACUUCAACUGCCAGAGGGAGACCGGAACCGGCGGGAGAAGGAUGUGA